RNAcentral lists this ribosomal RNA (560 nucleotides) under Pseudomonas sp. Its description in RNAcentral is "bacterial SSU rRNA". It matches the Rfam family "Bacterial small subunit ribosomal RNA", at positions 118 to 674 of the family's 1533-position model. The record is from RNAcentral. Lineage: Bacteria; Pseudomonadati; Pseudomonadota; Gammaproteobacteria; Pseudomonadales; Pseudomonadaceae.
UAGGAAUCUGCCUGGUAGUGGGGGAUAACGUUCGGAAACGGACGCUAAUACCGCAUACGUCCUACGGGAGAAAGCAGGGGACCUUCGGGCCUUGCGCUAUCAGAUGAGCCUAGGUCGGAUUAGCUAGUUGGUGGGGUAAUGGCUCACCAAGGCGACGAUCCGUAACUGGUCUGAGAGGAUGAUCAGUCACACUGGAACUGAGACACGGUCCAGACUCCUACGGGAGGCAGCAGUGGGGAAUAUUGGACAAUGGGCGAAAGCCUGAUCCAGCCAUGCCGCGUGUGUGAAGAAGGUCUUCGGAUUGUAAAGCACUUUAAGUUGGGAGGAAGGGUUGUAGAUUAAUACUCUGCAAUUUUGACGUUACCGACAGAAUAAGCACCGGCUAACUCUGUGCCAGCAGCCGCGGUAAUACAGAGGGUGCAAGCGUUAAUCGGAAUUACUGGGCGUAAAGCGCGCGUAGGUGGUUAGUUAAGUUGGAUGUAAAAUCCCCGGGCUCAACCUGGGAACUGCAUUCAAAACUGACUGACUAGAGUAUGGUAGAGGGUGGUGGAAUUUCCUGU